GUGCUUGCUUCAGCAGCACAUUUACUAAAAUUGGAAUGAUAUCGAUAAGAUUAGCAUGGCAAGGAUGACACACAAAUUCAUGAAACGCUUCAUAUUUUU
RNAcentral lists this small nuclear RNA (99 nucleotides) under Octodon degus (degu). The record is from RNAcentral. Lineage: Eukaryota; Metazoa; Chordata; Mammalia; Rodentia; Octodontidae.